GACGAAGGAUGCAAGCGUUAUCCGGAUUCAUUGGGUUUAAAGGGAGCGUAGGUGGCCUUGUAAGUCAGUGGUGAAAUCUGGCAGCUUAACUGCUAAAUUGCCAUUGAUACUGCAGGGCUUGAGUACAGGUGCCGUUGGCGGAAUAUGACAUGUAGUGGUGAAAUACAUAGAGAUGUCAUAGAACACCGAUUGCGAAGGCAGCUGACGAAACUGUAACUGACACUGAGGCUCGAAAGCCAGGGGAGCAAACGGG
This 253-nucleotide ribosomal RNA is filed under the name uncultured bacterium. Its description in RNAcentral is "partial 16S ribosomal RNA". It matches the Rfam family "Bacterial small subunit ribosomal RNA", at positions 524 to 776 of the family's 1533-position model. The record is from RNAcentral.